Molecule: ribosomal RNA, 442 nt
Filed under: uncultured bacterium
Lineage: Bacteria
Description: SSU rRNA
Rfam family: Bacterial small subunit ribosomal RNA
Source: RNAcentral
UAUGGGCGCGAGCCUGAACCAGCCAAGUUAGCGUGAAGGAUGAAGGCUCUAUGGGUCGUAAACUUCUUUUAUAUGGGAAUAAAGUUUUCCACGUGUGGAAUUUUGUAUGUACCAUAUGAAUAAGGAUCGGCUAACUCCGUGCCAGCAGCCGCGGUAAUACGGAGGAUCCGAGCGUUAUCCGGAUUUAUUGGGUUUAAAGGGAGCGUAGGCGGGUUGUUAAGUCAGUUGUGAAAGUUUGCGGCUCAACCGUAAAAUUGCAGUUGAUACUGGCGACCUUGAGUGCAACAGAGGUAGGCGGAAUUCGUGGUGUAGCGGUGAAAUGCUUAGAUAUCACGAAGAACUCCGAUUGCGAAGGCAGCUUACUGGAUUGUAACUGACGCUGAUGCUCGAAAGUGUGGGUAUCAAACAGGAUUAGAUACCCUGGUAGUCCAAGGGCGAAUUC